GUCGGGUACGGGGACAUGUGCCCGGGCACGGUUGGGGGAAAGCUGGUGGGCUCCAUGUGUGCCAUUGCUGGCGUGCUCACCAUCUCUUUGCCUGUGCCUGUCAUUGUGUCCAAC
Oreochromis niloticus (Nile tilapia) is the source of this 114-nucleotide non-coding RNA. NCBI's taxonomy places the organism in Eukaryota, Metazoa, Chordata, Actinopteri, Cichliformes, Cichlidae. The record is from Rfam.